RNAcentral lists this ribosomal RNA (381 nucleotides) under uncultured bacterium. Its description in RNAcentral is "bacterial SSU rRNA". It matches the Rfam family "Bacterial small subunit ribosomal RNA", at positions 524 to 903 of the family's 1533-position model. The record is from RNAcentral.
UACGUAGGGUGCGAGCGUUAAUCGGAAUUACUGGGCGUAAAGCGUGCGCAGGCGGUUUGGUAAGACAGAUGUGAAAUCCCCGGGCUUAACCUGGGAACUGCAUUUGUGACUGCCAGACUAGAGUGUAGCAGAGGGGGGUAGAAUUCCACGUGUAGCAGUGAAAUGCGUAGAGAUGUGGAGGAAUACCGAUGGCGAAGGCAGCCCCCUGGGCUAACACUGACGCUCAUGCACGAAAGCGUGGGGAGCAAACAGGAUUAGAUACCCUGGUAGUCCACGCCCUAAACGAUGUCAACUAGGUGUUGGGGAAGGAGACUUCUUUAGUACCGCAGCUAACGCGUGAAGUUGACCGCCUGGGGAGUACGGUCGCAAGAUUAAAACUCA